UUUCAGGGAAUGUUAUGAAGAGUAUAAAGGGGGUAUAAGGAUUCAGCUUUGCUAAAUGAAGCAUUACUGGAACAUCUCCAACUUAUCGAUGUCACAACAAUCCACAUCUCUGGCAAACCCCAUAAUCAGUAUGCUGCAUCCACCAAGAUGAAGGAAAGAUAGAAAAUAUGCGACCUAAGGAACAGCCAUCCAUUGGGCCAAAGACUCCAGGAGCCAAAAGGAAUGCAGCAUACGGGGAAGUGGAAUAGUUGAAGUAGGCUGUCAUGAACCAUAGGCCACCAUAAUUAUGGAGGUGGUCAUAUAGAAUGCAAUUUUCAUAUAUUUAUUUGCAUGCAGUGCCUGUAUUUGAAGGUGCCAAAUCUUAAAGUGAAUGUGAAGGCAUUUAGUUAUUCUCAUGCUUCUACACAAAAUGUAAGUUUAGGUCCUAAGGCCAGCAGCCCAGGCGAGGGAAAAUGCCACUAAGGAAACUGCCUUCCAUUAGGCUUAAGACUAAGGAGUCAAAAGAAAUAAAGCAUACAGGGCGGCAGAAACAUCAGAUCAGAGGGAGGCCAGACCUGAAGCCAAAGGACAAGAGUUAAUGCAUCCAGAGCAGUGAAGUACCAGAACAGAGGAAGGCCAUACUGGUCGAUCUGAGGAUGAGAGGAGCAGCAUCCAGAGCAGGAGAAGGAUCAGAACAGAGGGAGGCCAGACUGGAUAUCCAAAGGACACGGGUAGAUGUGUCCAGAGCAGUGGAAGUAUCAGAACAGAGGAAGCCAUGCUGGUAGAUCUGAGGACGAGAGUAGCUGCAUCCAGAAAAGGAGGACCAGAACAGAGGGAGGUCAGGUUCUGACAUGUUAGGGUGACAGUUUUAGUGAUCAGAACUCAAAGGAAUAUUGCAUAUUGAAAAAAAACAGCAUUCCAUUACAGUCUGGAUGUCGGGUAUCACAAGAUACCCUCAUGUAUCCAUUGGAAAGUUGGACAAUGUCAGCACUGCAGUGCGCUCAAGUGGAAAGAUGAGGCUCCAGGACUCUCCUGCAGCAAUGGAAAGGUGUCUGCCAUCUUUGGUCAGUCUGCCUGAUCCACAGCAGGAUAUAUGACCACUUCUCGAAAUUUUCUUGAUAACUUCCGGAAUUACAACUGCUUCCAAAUGACAUUGUUCAGUACAAAUGAGAUUCACAAGACAGAAGGUCAGGUGUAUCACGCGUUUGGAUCCUUGCCUCCUAUACUAGAAGUGGACCCAAAAUGAGGGAGAGCAAGACGAAGAGUCCAAAGGAAGGAGUUGCGGAGUCGCUCUAAACCUCCGUGAGUUUCUUUGCAAGUACCACACUGAUGUUACCAUCUUCAAACCAACCUUGGAGUUCAUGCCCACAGAGAAUCACAAGAUCAGUAUUAGGGCAGACAAGAGUCCUGAGGGUGAGCACAUAAGACUAUUCAUUGUCCCCACCCUCAACGAAGUGGCCAUGGUGAUUCGAGGCCUGCAACAUCGUCCUUCACAAGAGAAACCAUUCAGUUUAAAGGGUGACCAGCACUCUGGUCCUAUGACACCCUGCAGUAUCCUCUGAUAUUCUGGCAAGGUGAGGAUGACCACUACUAAAACAUUCCUCAAACCAGUCUGGCAACUGGUGAAGGAAAGUGUUGUCGCAAGAAGACUAUACUAUAGAAUCAUGUUGCAAGGUGGAUAAGAGAACCUAUUUUUGAAGUGCAGUAUGCCGUUUCACCAGUUGCUGUGGACAUGUACACCAAAAUUAAGAGCCACCAAAUAAAUCCGCCUCCAUGAUGCCAUCACCAGCGACAUUAAUCCAAGGGAGGUUGGAAAAAGGGCCCAUCCUGCCCUCGAGCAUCAUUGGAAGUCAUCAUUGGAAGUCCCAGGUACCUGCACAAUUAUACCCAAGAUGUGAUGAUUUAUGGAAGAACGGACCUAUUCAUCUGUUCAGAGAAGGUUCUGAAGGAACUCGUCAGUGAAAUGGAAACUGGAGAAGGCAGCUACCCCCUCUACUUCAAGUGAAAACAAGGAGCUUCCAGGUUGAUAGCAUGUAUCAUUAUGAAACUUGGCCUGAAGUACCAGCAGGUUGAGGUGGACAACAGAUGUGUUGUCAUACCAAACGCCCCUCUCAAAAAUGAUGUUCCAAGCCCACAACAACAUCAAGUGGUGUAAUUUAGUGAAAUCUAUGAAGCAUAUUAAUGAACAAGGGGAGGGACCAAGUCAUCAUCAUAUUCUAGUUACAGACCAGCCCAUCCAGGAUGAAGUGCAGGCCUUCCAACUCGGCAGUGAAGCCACCUGGAGAAUCUUAAGAGCUUCCAGAUCCAUGACAGGUACCUGGCCAUACUAAAUAAACGUUUAGUGUUCACUUGGAAAAUUGUCAGGGAAUGACUUCAGCCUGUAUGGGAUCCAACUGGAACAAAUGCAGGCGCCACCCAAGUCCACCUUAACGUCUGAGCUGUUAGGAAGACCCCUUCACAAAGGCUGUACUUGAUUCGGCUCGGUACUCUAUUACACCUGGGAUUCCAGCAGCAAAAAAUUCAGGAGGCAAAAGCGGGACAAGGAUGUCAAAGGCUACCAGGGAGUCAUAUCCACUGACACCCUGGAAAGAGUGUAUAUACUGUGCCAUCCUUGCAGCGUUGAAUGUUUUUACUUGUGAAUGUUUCUGCGUGUUGUACAGGGAUACACGUCAUUCACGAGUCUGAAAUGGGAGGACAGUCAAGCCAGUUUAGUUUAUUGGAGAAUGACCAGCACCGGGACCUCACCCUGGCCAAAGCUACUUUGUCGCAGCCACAGAGGAAGACUGCGUCAUAUCCAACCCCCUUCAGCUCUGAUAAAAGUACAGGAUGGCACUGAGGGAAGAUAUUCAGCAUCAAGAGGCAAGAUAAUCCGACCUUGCCUAUAGACUCCUGCAACGCCAUCUGUUGGAAUUAGAGUGUAUGCCAUGUCGGGGAAAAUCAUAAGGACUUCCAGCUUGCCUUCCCCUCCUAUUGAUCCUAAUACCUACCCAACCAGCUUUACUUCGAGAGACCAGUUGCAGGUCCAAGGCCCUUUCCCAGUUAGUUGUGGAAAAGAAACUCCUGCUGAUGUCAGACCAGUGGAGAGCCUAUGUAUGAUGCCAUUCUGUGAACCAUGCCAACAGCCAAACAGAUGCAACAUUAAUCUCAUUCUGGCCUGAGUUCAAGAGGAGAAUUAAAGAGUCCCUUGGCUUCUGGAUGGAGGUCACACUGCCAAAUGUGUUUUGCAAUUGUCACUCAGUUUGGCUCUGCUCAUAGGCUCCUGUCUGCUACAUUUCCAAGGGCCACACCAAAGUUCUUCAUCAGUGCAGCCUCAUCGUUUCUGACGAAUGCACCAUGGCCAACAAAUGAGGCUUCUGUUCUUUUGGCUGGAGGGACUCUCCAAACCUUUCCAGUAAUCAUUCGGGGUACCAGCCACAAAUGCAAGCCAUAAGGUCUUGCCUGUGGAGAGGACUGCCUUAGUGUGUAGUUGUCCGGCAAUAAUCCUCUGGCUGACCAGCUUCUCACCUUGGUAAAUGGGAAGCCCCCCGUUGACGUCCAGACAGGUUUAUCAUGUUCAUGGGGAACUUCUGCACCUUGGUCAGCAUCCAAGAAUUGUUAGCAGCAGUGUUUCUUGACAGCCUGAGAAACUACCACGUGCACAACUGGUUUCAGAAAAGAACGAUCUGGCCCCAAAAGAUGAGUAAAGAGUAUCACCUUGCAGAUACAGGGAAUGUUGCUUUCCAGUGGACAUUCCUGCUGCUCCAUCAAUGCCAUCAUGGGUCUCAACGAAGUAGUUAGUUACCCAGUAAAAUUCCUCAGUGCCUUUGAGCUGUCCGUGUAUCCACCUCAGACCCUCAACCUGAAGUCAGCACCAAUCUUCCUGUUUUGAAACCUGCAUUGUCCCAAGUUGUGCAACAGGACACCUUAAUCAUCGAGACCCUUCUUCCACCAGGUUCAGGGGACCAUUCAAACUGGAUGUAGAAUAGGAGAAGACUUCUUUAUACCACAAAUCCUGAUGAUUGUGGACAAUCUCCCAUUCAUUUUCAAGAGGAUCCAAUUUCCCAUCAGGCUUGCUUUUUCAAUGAACAGCAACAAAGCACAAGGGCAAUCACUAAAGGUGGUGGGCAUCAACUUCCAAGGGUCAUGCUUGUCACAGCCAGAAAUUUUUCAUGCAUCUCCUUUGAAUUCUCUUCUUGUGUCCAGUAUGUGUACUGUAAUUGAAAAUAAUUUGUCAUUAAUAGAAUUCUAUCAUUUUGAAUAUUGUUGUAAAUAAACAUGUUAAUCACAACCACACCACGUGUUACUUCC
This is a long non-coding RNA of Macrobrachium nipponense, 4266 nucleotides long. RefSeq lists it as uncharacterized. Lineage: Eukaryota; Metazoa; Arthropoda; Malacostraca; Decapoda; Palaemonidae. The transcript is spliced from 4 exons. The record is from RefSeq and is a predicted model, not a curated record.